This is a long non-coding RNA of Myotis brandtii (Brandt's bat), 137 nucleotides long. RefSeq lists it as uncharacterized. The transcript is spliced from 4 exons. Lineage: Eukaryota; Metazoa; Chordata; Mammalia; Chiroptera; Vespertilionidae. The record is from RefSeq and is a predicted model, not a curated record.
UGAAAGCCAUGAAGGUGCUCAUCCUUGCCUGCCUGGUGGCCUUUGCUUUUGCAAAGGAGAAGGAACAAAUCAGUGUAUCCAGAGAGACUAUAGAAAGCAUUUCUAGCAGUGAGGAGUCUAUUACCCACAUCAACAAG